RNAcentral lists this small nucleolar RNA (138 nucleotides) under Ornithorhynchus anatinus (platypus). Lineage: Eukaryota; Metazoa; Chordata; Mammalia; Monotremata; Ornithorhynchidae. The record is from RNAcentral.
CCCCUCUCAGGGUGGCACCUGGAGAGUUUCCAGUAUUUUACCAGACUCGGCUAUGGGAGGGAGAGUCAAGCAGAGGCCUACCCAUUCCAUUCCUAGCUUAGCCAGUGGUUAGAGAGUGGAAGGCAACCUGCUACAAGU